CAGGCUUAACACAUGCAAGUCGAGGGGCAGCAUGGUCUUAGCUUGCUAAGGCCGAUGGCGACCGGCGCACGGGUGAGUAACGCGUAUCCAACCUGCCUUACACUCUUGGACAGCCUUCUGAAAGGGAGAUUAAUACAAGAUGUUAUCAUGAGUAAGCAUUUUCGCAUGAUUAAAGGUUUACCGGUGUAAGAUGGGGAUGCGUUCCAUUAGAUAGUAGGCGGGGUAACGGCCCACCUAGUCUUCGAUGGAUAGGGGUUCUGAGAGGAAGGUCCCCCACAUUGGAACUGAGACACGGUCCAAACUCCUACGGGAGGCAGCAGUGAGGAAUAUUGGUCAAUGGACGAGAGUCUGAACCAGCCAAGUAGCGUGAAGGAUGAAGGUUCUAUGGAUUGUAAACUUCUUUUAUACGGGAAUAAACGAAUCCACGCGUGGAUUUUUGCAUGUACCGUAUGAAUAAGGAUCGGCUAACUCCGUGCCAGCAGCCGCGGUAAUACGGAGGAUCCGAGCGUUAUCCGGAUUUAUUGGGUUUAAAGGGAGCGUAGAUGGGUUGUUAAGUCAGUUGUGAAAGUUUGCGGCUCAACCGUAAAAUUGCAAUUGAUACUGGCAGUCUUGAGUACAGUUGAGGUAGGCGGAAUUCGUGGUGUAGCGGUGAAAUGCUUAGAUAUCACGAAGAACUCCGAUUGCGAAGGCAGCUUACUAACCUGUAACUGACAUUGAUGCUCGAAAGUGUGGGUAUCAAACAGGAUUAGAUACCCUGGUAGUCCACACGGUAAACGAUGAAUACUCGCUGUAGGCGAUAUACAGUCUGCGGCCAAGCGAAGGCAUUAAGUAUUCCACCUGGGGAGUACGCCGGCAACGGUGAAACUCAAAGGAAUUGACGGGGGCCCGCACAAGCGGAGGAACAUGUGGUUUAAUUCGAUGAUACGCGAGGAACCUUACCCGGGCUUAAAUUGCAACCGAAUAUGGCGGAAACGCUAUAGCUAGCAAUAGCGGUUGUGAAGGUGCUGCAUGGUUGUCGUCAGCUCGUGCCGUGAGGUGUCGGCUUAAGUGCCAUAACGAGCGCAACCCUUGCCGAUAGUUACUAACAGGUCAUGCUGAGGACUCUGUCGGGACUGCCAUCGUAAGAUGUGAGGAAGGUGGGGAUGACGUCAAAUCAGCACGGCCCUUACGUCCGGGGCUACACACGUGUUACAAUGGGGGGUACAGAGGGCUGCUACCACGCAAGUGGAUGCCAAUCCCAAAAACCUCUCUCAGUUCGGACUGAAGUCUGCAACCCGACUUCAUGAAGCUGGAUUCGCUAGUAAUCGCGCAUCAGCCACGGCGCGGUGAAUACGUUCCCGGGCCUUGUACACACCGCCCGUCAAGCCAUGGGAGCCGGGGGUACCUGAAGUGCGUAACCGCAAGGAGCGCCCUAGGGUAAAACUGGUGACUGGGGCUAA
This 1439-nucleotide ribosomal RNA is filed under the name uncultured organism. RNAcentral describes it as "16S ribosomal RNA". It matches the Rfam family "Bacterial small subunit ribosomal RNA". The record is from RNAcentral.